ACUCCUACGGGAGGCAGCAGUGGGGAAUUUUGGACAAUGGGCGCAAGCCUGAUCCAGCAAUGCCGCGUGCAGGAAGAAGGCCUUCGGAUUGUAAACUGCUUUUGUCAGGGAAGAAAUCUUCUGGGCUAAUACCCCGGGAGGAUGACGGUACCUGAAGAAUAAGCACCGGCUAACUACGUGCCAGCAGCCGCGGUAAUACGUAGGGUGCGAGCGUUAAUCGGAAUUACUGGGCGUAAAGCGUGCGCAGGCGGCUUUGCAAGACAGAGGUGAAAUCCCCGGGCUCAACCUGGGAACUGCCUUUGUGACUGCAAGGCUAGAGUACGGCAGAGGGGGAUGGAAUUCCGCGUGUAGCAGUGAAAUGCGUAGAUAUGCGGAGGAACACCGAUGGCGAAGGCAAUCCCCUGGSCCUGUACUGACGCUCAUGCACGAAAGCGUGGGGAGCAAACAGGAUUAGAUACCCUGGUAGUCCMCSCCCUAAACGAUGUCAACUGGUUGUUGGACGGCUUGCUGUUCAGUAACGAAGCUAACGCGUGAAGUUGACCSCCUGGGGAGUGCGGCCSCAAGGUUGAAACUCAAAGGAAUUGACGG
RNAcentral lists this ribosomal RNA (588 nucleotides) under uncultured Imtechium sp. Its description in RNAcentral is "bacterial SSU rRNA". It matches the Rfam family "Bacterial small subunit ribosomal RNA", at positions 335 to 916 of the family's 1533-position model. Lineage: Bacteria; Pseudomonadati; Pseudomonadota; Betaproteobacteria. The record is from RNAcentral.